GACGAACGCUGGCGGCGUGCUUAACACAUGCAAGUCGAACGGUAAGGCCCUUUCGGGGGUCCACGAGUGGCGAACGGGUGAGUAACACGUGGGUGAUCUGCCCUGCACUUUGGGAUAAGCCUGGGAAACUGGGUCUAAUACCGGAUAGGACUACGCGAUGCAUGUCGUGUGGUGGAAAGCUUUUGCGGUGUGGGAUGGGCCCGCGGCCUAUCAGCCUGUUGGUGGGGUGAUGGCCUACCAAGGCGACGACGGGUAGCCGGCCUGAGAGGGUGUCCGGCCACACUGGGACUGAGAUACGGCCCAGACUCCUACGGGAGGCAGCAGUGGGGAAUAUUGCACAAUGGGCGCAAGCCUGAUGCAGCGACGCCGCGUGGGGGAUGACGGCCUUCGGGUUGUAAACCCCUUUCAGCACAGACGAAGCGUAAGUGACGGUAUGUGCAGAAGAAGCACCGGCCAACUACGUG
Molecule: ribosomal RNA, 464 nt
Filed under: uncultured bacterium
Lineage: Bacteria
Description: partial 16S ribosomal RNA
Rfam family: Bacterial small subunit ribosomal RNA
Source: RNAcentral